CUGUGUGAGAGGAUCAUAUAUGUGUGUCUGCAAGGACACCAGGGGCAUAACCUAACAAAUGUGUGGGGUCAAUUGGUUUCCCAAAGGGACUCUACUGAGAAGCUGGCUCACCAAGUCACGGCCCAGAUUGCUGCUGCUGAUUGCAGGGUUAAAGAGGCCCCAGGUGACCCUCAUGAGGAGGAAAAGGAUGAAGCGCACAAAAGUAGCAAAGGCCACGUAAGCGAACCUGCAGCCGAAUGCCCCACUUCUGCUGAGUUCUUGACAGUGCGGAGUUGCUUAUGGAAAUCAAAGGAAAGGACAACCUUUGCGUAACAUAAAUGCUCCAAAAAGAACUAAAAUGCAACAAAUGCUAAACAAAAGGAAGACAGAGAACAAACUGAAGAGAUUGAGGUCUCCAGACUAAAUCAGAAAGCUUUCUUGACCACCCACUUCUGUCACUGUACUGACUGUGACUUUGUACAUCUUUCCUAUAGAUGUGUUGGUAGAUCGCCCCUGCUGUCGUUUUCCUAGUUUAACUCUAUCUGGUUUGAGUUCGUACGCAGCUCAAACUAGUUACUGAUUAAACUCUGUAUGUUUAACCCACCACUGUCUCACAUUCUUCAGUCAAUGCUUUUCAAAUAGCAAUUACUUCACUGCAUGAUAAUGCUUUGCAUACCAGUCACUACAACUGAUACUACUAAUACUACUACCACUAGGAGAAAAUUAAUUUACCAUUUUGUGCUUGAAUCUUCUUUCAUAUUCUUCCCCUGCUGUCUCUUACAUAUUAUAUAUACUUUUUUAAUUUUUAUUUUACUUCUUAAACCAGGGUUCAGAUAAUAUCCUUCUAUUGAAGGCUAACAGUGACACAAAUCUCCAAAAUUAAUGUUAUUUAAUUCAUUGUUACUAAUACAUUUUAAA
Molecule: long non-coding RNA, 897 nt
Organism: Xiphophorus maculatus (southern platyfish)
Lineage: Eukaryota; Metazoa; Chordata; Actinopteri; Cyprinodontiformes; Poeciliidae
Exons: 3
Source: RefSeq, a predicted model, not a curated record